Molecule: transfer RNA, 44 nt
Filed under: Guatteria ramiflora
Lineage: Eukaryota; Viridiplantae; Streptophyta; Magnoliopsida; Magnoliales; Annonaceae
Also listed under: 7 other names
Description: partial tRNA-Leu
Source: RNAcentral
CGUCGACUUUAUAAAUCGUGAGGGUUCAAGUCCCUCUAUCCCCA